UCGAACGGUCUACCUCGACAGAAACCUUCGGGUUGAAGACGAGAUCUAGAUAGUGGCGGACGGGUGAGUAACACGUGAAUAAUCUAUCCUCAAGUUUGGGAUAACCUGGCGAAAGUCGGGCUAAUCCGAGGUAAGCUGAGAGUGUGGCAUCACACAAUCAGAAAAGGUGGCAUUGCCAUCGUUUGAGGAGGAGUUCGCGGUAGAUUAGCUAGCUGGUGAGGUAACGGCUCACCAGGGCAACAAUCUAUAGCUGGUCUGAGAGGACGAUCAGUCACACUGGAACUGAGACACGGUCCAGACUCCUACGGGAGGCAGCAGUGGGGAAUCUUCCACAAUGGGCGCAAGCCUGAUGGAGCAACGCCGCGUGAAUGAAGAAGGCCUUAGGGUCGUAAAGUUCUGUCCUUAGGGAAGAACCGUGGGUAUAGUAAAUGCUACCCACCUGACGGUACCUUUGGAGGAAGCACUGGCUAACUACGUGCCAGCAGCCGCGGUAAUACGUAGAGUGCAAGCGUUGUCCGGAAUUAUUGGGCGUAAAGGGUACGCAGGCGGAUAAUCAAGUCAAGCGUGAAAGGUGUCGGCUUAACCGACAGACUGCGUUUGAAACUGGUUAUCUUGAGUGUAACAGAGGAGAGUGGAAUUCCUAGUGUAGUGGUGAAAUACGUAGAUAUUAGGAAGAACACCAGUGGCGAAGGCGACUCUCUGGGUUAACACUGACGCUGAGGUACGAAAGCUGGGGGAGCGAACGGGAUUAGAUACCCCGGUAGUCCCAGCCGUAAACGA
This 780-nucleotide ribosomal RNA is filed under the name uncultured bacterium. Its description in RNAcentral is "bacterial SSU rRNA". It matches the Rfam family "Bacterial small subunit ribosomal RNA", at positions 62 to 809 of the family's 1533-position model. The record is from RNAcentral.